Molecule: ribosomal RNA, 253 nt
Filed under: uncultured bacterium
Lineage: Bacteria
Description: partial 16S ribosomal RNA
Rfam family: Bacterial small subunit ribosomal RNA
Source: RNAcentral
UACGUAGGGUGCAAGCGUUAAUCGGAAUUACUGGGCGUAAAGCGUGCGCAGGCGGUGAUGUAAGCCAGGGGUGAAAUCCCCGGGCUUAACCUGGGAACUGCAUUUGUGACUGCAUCGCUGGAGUGCGGCAGAGGGGGAUGGAAUUCCGCGUGUAGCAGUGAAAUGCGUAGAUAUGCGGAGGAACACCGAUGGCGAAGGCAAUCCCCUGGGCCUGCACUGACGCUCAUGCACGAAAGCGUGGGGAGCAAACAGG